UGCCAGCAGCCGCGGUAAUACGGAGGUGGCAAACGUUGCUCGGAAUCACUGGGCUUAAAGGGCGUGUAGGCGGCGAUUUAAGUCGGAUGUGAGAUCUCUCGGCCUAACCGGGAAACUGCAUCCGAAACUGGAUUGCUAGAGUGCGGGAGGGGCAAGUGGAACUCCAGGUGUAGCGGUGAAAUGCGUAGAUAUCUGGAGGAACGCCGGUGGCGAAAGCGACUUGCUGGACCGCAACUGACGCUGAGGCGCGAAAGUGUGGGUAGCGAACAGGAUUAGAUA
RNAcentral lists this ribosomal RNA (279 nucleotides) under uncultured bacterium. RNAcentral describes it as "partial 16S ribosomal RNA". It matches the Rfam family "Bacterial small subunit ribosomal RNA", at positions 506 to 784 of the family's 1533-position model. The record is from RNAcentral.